AGAAGACUGAAGCUUGUAUACUAUUUUUACUUUGGCACUAUUAAGGUAAGUUUUUCAUAGUUACAACAUGAAAAGAAGGUAGGAAGAGGCCAUUUUGCCUAUACAGAGCUAUACAGAGCACCAGUUCAAACAGAAGCUCCCCCCACCCCUUCACCCCCUCCGAGAGGGGAAAACAUAAAGCGAAAGCCAAGAAAAGCUUCACUGUGUGUUAUCCGGUAAGGAGACAGAUUGCGAGGAUGUGAUUUACUGAGCUUGUCCUAAAUACAUGUAUCAUAUGUACACUUGAUCUGAGCCAAAAGGCUGAGGAAGAUAUUAUGUACACCUCUCUGAGUUUUGACAUUGUGUAA
This 347-nucleotide unclassified non-coding RNA is filed under the name Hevea brasiliensis (rubber tree). Lineage: Eukaryota; Viridiplantae; Streptophyta; Magnoliopsida; Malpighiales; Euphorbiaceae. The record is from RNAcentral.